AAACUUACCUGACACGAGAGGCACCUUGAUCAACUAGGAGGUCCUCUCAGGAUGAGGCCCUUUCAUUGCACUUCGACUGCGUUGACUCCUGCGAUUACCCCUAAUGUGGGUAACUCGAGCGUAUAAUUUCUGGUAGUGGGGACCUGCGUUCGCGCUCGUCCCCU
Molecule: small nuclear RNA, 164 nt
Filed under: Paramuricea clavata
Lineage: Eukaryota; Metazoa; Cnidaria; Anthozoa; Malacalcyonacea; Plexauridae
Description: U1 spliceosomal RNA
Rfam family: U1 spliceosomal RNA
About the family: U1 is a small nuclear RNA (snRNA) component of the spliceosome (involved in pre-mRNA splicing).
Source: Rfam by way of RNAcentral